UACGAAGGAUCCAAGCGUUAUCCGGAUUUAUUGGGUUUAAAGGGUGCGUAGGCGGGCUAUUAAGUCAGUGGUGAAAGCCCCAAGCUUAACUUGGGAAUUGCCAUUGAUACUGAUUGUCUUGAGUACACUUGAAGUGGGCGGAAUGUGUCAUGUAGCGGUGAAAUGCUUAGAUAUGACACAGAACACCGAUUGCGAAGGCAGCUCACUAAGGAGUUACUGACACUGAGGCACGAAAGCGUGGGGAUCAAACAGG
RNAcentral lists this ribosomal RNA (253 nucleotides) under uncultured bacterium. RNAcentral's name for it is "partial 16S ribosomal RNA". It matches the Rfam family "Bacterial small subunit ribosomal RNA", at positions 524 to 776 of the family's 1533-position model. The record is from RNAcentral.